Molecule: transfer RNA, 73 nt
Organism: Actinomadura madurae
Lineage: Bacteria; Bacillati; Actinomycetota; Actinomycetes; Streptosporangiales; Thermomonosporaceae
Rfam family: tRNA
About the family: Transfer RNA (tRNA) molecules are approximately 80 nucleotides in length. Their secondary structure includes four short double-helical elements and three loops (D, anti-codon, and T loops).
Source: Rfam
GGGGCCUUAGCUCAGUUGGUAGAGCACCGGCUUUGCAAGCCGGGUGUCAGGGGUUCGAAUCCCCUAGGCUCCA